RNAcentral lists this long non-coding RNA (221 nucleotides) under Capsella rubella. RNAcentral's name for it is "long non-coding RNA (CRUB_LNC004206)". Lineage: Eukaryota; Viridiplantae; Streptophyta; Magnoliopsida; Brassicales; Brassicaceae. The record is from RNAcentral.
UGGUCAUCUGGAUUAAUUUGAUUUGUUUGGUCUAUUUAGUUAAAAUUAAUUUAGACCGGUUUAGCUGGUUAAGAUUGUUUUAAUUAAUUGGAUGAAUCCGGUUUGCAUGAUUAAAAAAAAAUCGGGAUGCAUCUUUUCAAUAUCACUAGGUAGUGUCCCGCGCAUGCGCAGGUUAUCAUAUAAUGAGUAAUUAAUUUACAUUUACUUCAAAAAAUAAAAAA